GUUUCAAGGUCAAGUUUUAGUCUCUACUUUUCUUUCUUACUUUUUCCGAAAGGGAAGGUUAGGUGGCAAUGGAACAAAACAUUGCUUGAGAAUUUUAUCUUCGGUUCUUUCUUGCUUCUCAGCUUCUCUAUAGAGGUGAGGGGUUAGCAGUUAUUUUCAAACUAGAAGCAAGCGAAAAUCAAUUGGUUAAUUUAGUAGACGGAAUCCCAUGCGAUGGAGAACUAUUUGAAUGAGAACUUCGGGGACGUGAAGCCUAAGAAUUCAUCGGAGGAAGCCUUG
This 279-nucleotide unclassified non-coding RNA is filed under the name Hevea brasiliensis (rubber tree). Lineage: Eukaryota; Viridiplantae; Streptophyta; Magnoliopsida; Malpighiales; Euphorbiaceae. The record is from RNAcentral.